CUCCUUGAGAGUCCUGAAGGAACGUUGAAGACGACGACGUUGAUAGGCCGGGUGUGUAAGCGCAGCGAUGCGUUGAGCUAACCGGUACUAAUGAACCGUGAGGCUUAACCUU
Molecule: ribosomal RNA, 112 nt
Filed under: Escherichia coli
Lineage: Bacteria; Pseudomonadati; Pseudomonadota; Gammaproteobacteria; Enterobacterales; Enterobacteriaceae
Also listed under: 2 other names
Description: partial 23S ribosomal RNA
Rfam family: Bacterial large subunit ribosomal RNA
Source: RNAcentral